UACGUAGGGGGCAAGCGUUGUCCGGAUUUAUUGGGCGUAAAGAGCGUGUAGGCGGCCAAGCAGGUCCGCUGUGAAAACUCGAGGCUCAACCUCGAGACGUCGACCCAAACCCCCUGGCUAGAGUCCGGAAGAGGAGAGUGGAAUUCCUGGUGUAGCGGUGAAAUGCGCAGAUAUCAGGAAGAACACCCGUGGCGAAGGCGGCUCUCUGGGACGGUACUGACGCUGAGACGCGAAAGCGUGGGGAGCGAACAGG
This 253-nucleotide ribosomal RNA is filed under the name uncultured bacterium. RNAcentral's name for it is "partial 16S ribosomal RNA". It matches the Rfam family "Bacterial small subunit ribosomal RNA", at positions 524 to 776 of the family's 1533-position model. The record is from RNAcentral.